AGCUACAGGCUUAACACAUGCAAGUCGAGGGGAAACGACAUCGAAAGCUUGCUUUUGAUGGGCGUCGACCGGCGCACGGGUGAGUAACGCGUAUCCAACCUGCCCACCACUUGGGGAUAACCUUGCGAAAGUAAGACUAAUACCCAAUGACGUCUCUAGAAGACAUCUGAAAGGGAUUAAAGAUUUAUCGGUGAUGGAUGGGGAUGCGUCUGAUUAGCUUGUUGGCGGGGUAACGGCCCACCAAGGCGACGAUCAGUAGGGGUUCUGAGAGGAAGGUCCCCCACAUUGGAACUGAGACACGGUCCAAACUCCUACGGGAGGCAGCAGUGAGGAAUAUUGGUCAAUGGACGAGAGUCUGAACCAGCCAAGUAGCGUGCAGGAUGACGGCCCUAUGGGUUGUAAACUGCUUUUAUAAGGGAAUAAAGUGAGUCUCGUGAGACUUUUUGCAUGUACCUUAUGAAUAAGGACCGGCUAAUUCCGUGCCAGCAGCCGCGGUAAUACGGAAGGUCCGGGCGUUAUCCGGAUUUAUUGGGUUUAAAGGGAGCGUAGGCCGGAGAUUAAGCGUGUUGUGAAAUGUAGACGCUCAACGUCUGCACUGCAGCGCGAACUGGUUUCCUUGAGUACGCACAAAGUGGGCGGAAUUCGUGGUGUAGCGGUGAAAUGCUUAGAUAUCACGAAGAACUCCGAUUGCGAAGGCAGCUCACUGGAGCGCAACUGACGCUGAAGCUCGAAAGUGCGGGUAUCGAACAGGAUUAAAUACCCUGGUAGUCCGCACGGUAAACGAUGGAUGCCCGCUGUUGGUCUGAAUAGGUCAGCGGCCAAGCGAAAGCAUUAAGCAUCCCACCUGGGGAGUACGCCGGCAACGGUGAAACUCAAAGGAAUUGACGGGGGCCCGCACAAGCGGAGGAACAUGUGGUUUAAUUCGAUGAUACGCGAGGAACCUUACCCGGGCUUGAAUUGCAGAGGAAGGAUUUGGAGACAAUGACGCCCUUCGGGGCCUCUGUGAAGGUGCUGCAUGGUUGUCGUCAGCUCGUGCCGUGAGGUGUCGGCUUAAGUGCCAUAACGAGCGCAACCCCUCUCCUUAGUUGCCAUCAGGUCAAGCUGGGCACUCUGGGGACACUGCCACCGUAAGGUGUGAGGAAGGGGGGGA
RNAcentral lists this ribosomal RNA (1150 nucleotides) under uncultured bacterium. RNAcentral describes it as "bacterial SSU rRNA". It matches the Rfam family "Bacterial small subunit ribosomal RNA", at positions 38 to 1179 of the family's 1533-position model. The record is from RNAcentral.